GGGUUGUGAGGUUAAGCGACUAAGCGUACACGGUGGAUGCCCUGGCAGUCAGAGGCGAUGAAGGACGUGCUAAUCUGCGAAAAGCGUCGGUAAGGUGAUAUGAACCGUUAUAACCGGCGAUGUCCGAAUGGGGAAACCCAGUGCAAUUCGUUGCACUAUCGUUAACUGAAUACAUAGGUUAACGAGGCGAACCGGGGGAACUGAAACAUCUAAGUACCCCGAGGAAAAGAAAUCAACCGAGAUUCCCCCAGUAGCGGCGAGCGAACGGGGAGCAGCCCAGAGUCUGAAUCAGCUUGUGUGUUAGUGGAACGGUCUGGAAAGUCCGACGGUACAGGGUGAUAGUCCCGUACACCAAAAUGCACAGGCUGUGAACUCGAAGAGUAGGGCGGGACACGUGGUAUCCUGUCUGAAUAUGGGGGGACCAUCCUCCAAGGCUAAAUACUCCUGACUGACCGAUAGUGAACCAGUACCGUGAGGGAAAGGCGAAAAGAACCCCGGCGAGGGGAGUGAAAAAGAACCUGAAACCGUGUACGUACAAGCAGUGGGAGCACCUUCGGGUGUGACUGCGUACCUUUUGUAUAAUGGGUCAGCGACUUAUAUUCUGUAGCAAGGUUAACCGUAUAGGGGAGCCGCAGGGAAACCGAGUCUUAACUGGGCGUUAAGUUGCAGGGUAUAGACCCGAAACCCGGUGAUCUAGCCAUGGGCAGGUUGAAGGUUGGGUAACACUAACUGGAGGACCGAACCGACUAAUGUUGAAAAAUUAGCGGAUGACUUGUGGCUGGGGGUGAAAGGCCAAUCAAACCGGGAGAUAGCUGGUUCUCCCCGAAAGCUAUUUAGGUAGCGCCUCGUGAACUCAUCUUCGGGGGUAGAGCACUGUUUCGGCUAGGGGGUCAUCCCGACUUACCAACCCGAUGCAAACUACGAAUACCGAAGAAUGUUAUCACGGGAGACACACGGCGGGUGCUAACGUCCGUCGUGAAGAGGGAAACAACCCAGACCGCCAGCUAAGGUCCCAAAGUCAUGGUUAAGUGGGAAACGAUGUGGGAAGGCACAGACAGCCAGGAUGUUGGCUUAGAAGCAGCCAUCAUUUAAAGAAAGCGUAAUAGCUCACUGGUCGAGUCGGCCUGCGCGGAAGAUGUAACGGGGCUAAACCAUGCACCGAAGCUGCGGCAGCGACACUAUGUGUUGUUGGGUAGGGGAGCGUUCUGUAAGCCUGCGAAGGUGUGCUGUGAGGCAUGCUGGAGGUAUCAGAAGUGCGAAUGCUGACAUAAGUAACGAUAAAGCGGGUGAAAAGCCCGCUCGCCGGAAGACCAAGGGUUCCUGUCCAACGUUAAUCGGGGCAGGGUGAGUCGACCCCUAAGGCGAGGCCGAAAGGCGUAGUCGAUGGGAAACAGGUUAAUAUUCCUGUACUUGGUGUUACUGCGAAGGGGGGACGGAGAAGGCUAUGUUAGCCGGGCGACGGUUGUCCCGGUUUAAGCAUGUAGGCUGGUUGUCCAGGCAAAUCCGGAUAAUCAAGGCUGAGGUGUGAUGACGAGGCACUACGGUGCUGAAGUAACAAAUGCCCUGCUUCCAGGAAAAGCCUCUAAGCAUCAGGUAACAUUAAAUCGUACCCCAAACCGACACAGGUGGUCAGGUAGAGAAUACCAAGGCGCUUGAGAGAACUCGGGUGAAGGAACUAGGCAAAAUGGUGCCGUAACUUCGGGAGAAGGCACGCUGGUGUGUAGGUGAAGCCCCUGCGGGUGGAGCUGAGACCAGUCGAAGAUACCAGCUGGCUGCAACUGUUUAUUAAAAACACAGCACUGUGCAAACACGAAAGUGGACGUAUACGGUGUGACGCCUGCCCGGUGCCGGAAGGUUAAUUGAUGGGGUUAUCCGUAAGGAGAAGCUCUUGAUCGAAGCCCCGGUAAACGGCGGCCGUAACUAUAACGGUCCUAAGGUAGCGAAAUUCCUUGUCGGGUAAGUUCCGACCUGCACGAAUGGCGUAAUGAUGGCCAGGCUGUCUCCACCCGAGACUCAGUGAAAUUGAACUCGCUGUGAAGAUGCAGUGUACCCGCGGCAAGACGGAAAGACCCCGUGAACCUUUACUAUAGCUUGACACUGAACAUUGAGCCUUGAUGUGUAGGAUAGGUGGGAGGCUUUGAAGCGUGGACGCCAGUCUGCGUGGAGCCAACCUUGAAAUACCACCCUUUAAUGUUUGAUGUUCUAACGUUGGCCCCUUAUCGGGGUUGCGGACAGUGUCUGGUGGGUAGUUUGACUGGGGCGGUCUCCUCCCAAAGCGUAACGGAGGAGCACGAAGGUUAGCUAAUCCUGGUCGGACAUCAGGAGGUUAGUGCAAUGGCAUAAGCUAGCUUGACUGCGAGCGUGACGGCGCGAGCAGGUGCGAAAGCAGGUCAUAGUGAUCCGGUGGUUCUGAAUGGAAGGGCCAUCGCUCAACGGAUAAAAGGUACUCCGGGGAUAACAGGCUGAUACCGCCCAAGAGUUCAUAUCGACGGCGGUGUUUGGCACCUCGAUGUCGGCUCAUCACAUCCUGGGGCUGAAGUAGGUCCCAAGGGUAUGGCUGUUCGCCAUUUAAAGUGGUACGCGAGCUGGGUUUAGAACGUCGUGAGACAGUUCGGUCCCUAUCUGCCGUGGGCGCUGGAGAAUUGAGGGGGGCUGCUCCUAGUACGAGAGGACCGGAGUGGACGCAUCACUGGUGUUCGGGUUGUCAUGCCAAUGGCACUGCCCGGUAGCUAAAUGCGGAAGAGAUAAGUGCUGAAAGCAUCUAAGCACGAAACUUGCCCCGAGAUGAGUUCUCCCUGAGACUUUAAGUCUCCUGAAGGAACGUUGAAGACGACGACGUUGAUAGGCCGGGUGUGUAAGCGCAGCGAUGCGUUGAGCUAACCGGUACUAAUGAACCGUGAGGCUUAACCUUACAACGCCGAAG
This 2923-nucleotide ribosomal RNA is filed under the name Klebsiella pneumoniae. RNAcentral's name for it is "23S ribosomal RNA". It matches the Rfam family "Bacterial large subunit ribosomal RNA". Lineage: Bacteria; Pseudomonadati; Pseudomonadota; Gammaproteobacteria; Enterobacterales; Enterobacteriaceae. The record is from RNAcentral.